RNAcentral lists this ribosomal RNA (254 nucleotides) under uncultured bacterium. RNAcentral's name for it is "partial 16S ribosomal RNA". It matches the Rfam family "Bacterial small subunit ribosomal RNA", at positions 524 to 776 of the family's 1533-position model. The record is from RNAcentral.
UACGUAGGGUGCAAGCGUUGUCCGGAUUUAUUGGGCGUAAAGAGCUCGUAGGCGGCUUAGUAAGUCGGGUGUGAAACCUCCAGGCUCAACCUGGAGACGCCACCCGAUACUGCUGUGGCUAGAGUCCGGUAGGGGAGCGUGGAAUUCCUGGUGUAGCGGUGAAAUGCGCAGAUAUCAGGAGGAACACCAGCGGCGAAGGCGGCGCUCUGGGCCGGUACUGACGCUGAGGAGCGAAAGCGUGGGGAGCGAACAGG